GUCGAGAAUUUUUCACAAUGGGCGAAAGCCUGAUGGAGCGACGCCGCGUGGGGGAUGAAUGGCUUCGGCCCGUAAACCCCUGUCAUCUGCGAGCAAUGCUCCGCGCCUAAUACGUGCGGAGUUGAUAGUAGCGGAAGAGGAAGGAACGGCUAACUCUGUGCCAGCAGCCGCGGUAAUACAGAGGUUCCAAGCGUUGUUCGGAUUCACUGGGCGUAAAGGGUGCGUAGGCGGUUGGGUAAGUCUGAUGUGAAAGCUCCGGGCCCAACCCGGAAACGUCAUCGGAUACUAUCCGGCUUGAGGGUUGGAGGGGGGACUGGAAUUCUCGGUGUAGCAGUGAAAUGCGUAGAUAUCGAGAGGAACACCCGUGGCGAAGGCAAGUCCCUGGAAAACUCCUGACGCUGAGGCACGAAAGCUAGGGGAGCAAACAGGAUUAGAAACCCCGGUAGUCC
Molecule: ribosomal RNA, 449 nt
Filed under: uncultured bacterium
Lineage: Bacteria
Description: bacterial SSU rRNA
Rfam family: Bacterial small subunit ribosomal RNA
Source: RNAcentral